AUACUUUCCUGGCAGGGGAGAUCCCAUGAUCACGAAGGUGGUUUUCCCAGGGCGAGGCUUAUCCAUUGCACUCCAGAUGUGCUGACCCUGUGAUUUCCCCAAAUGUGGGAAACUCAACUCCAUAAUUUGUGGUAGUGGGGGACUGCGUUUGUGCUCUCCCCUA
This 163-nucleotide small nuclear RNA is filed under the name Dasypus novemcinctus (nine-banded armadillo). Its description in RNAcentral is "U1 spliceosomal RNA (ENSDNOG00000045839.1)". It matches the Rfam family "U1 spliceosomal RNA". From Rfam's summary of the family: U1 is a small nuclear RNA (snRNA) component of the spliceosome (involved in pre-mRNA splicing). The record is from RNAcentral. Lineage: Eukaryota; Metazoa; Chordata; Mammalia; Cingulata; Dasypodidae.